Molecule: transfer RNA, 75 nt
Filed under: Armatimonadota bacterium
Lineage: Bacteria; Bacillati; Armatimonadota
Also listed under: 1 other name
Description: tRNA-Val
Rfam family: tRNA
About the family: Transfer RNA (tRNA) molecules are approximately 80 nucleotides in length. Their secondary structure includes four short double-helical elements and three loops (D, anti-codon, and T loops). Further hydrogen bonds mediate the characteristic L-shaped molecular structure. tRNAs have two regions of fundamental functional importance: the anti-codon, which is responsible for specific mRNA codon recognition, and the 3' end, to which the tRNAs corresponding amino acid is attached (by aminoacyl-tRNA synthetases). tRNAs cope with the degeneracy of the genetic code in two manners: having more than one tRNA (with a specific anti-codon) for a particular amino acid; and 'wobble' base-pairing, i.e. permitting non-standard base-pairing at the 3rd anti-codon position.
Source: RNAcentral
GGGCGGUUGGCACAGUGGUAGCGCGCUUCGUUCACACCGAAGAGGUCACAGGUUCAAAUCCUGUACCGCCCACCA